GUGGCGAACGGGUGAGUAACACGUGAGCAACCUGCCCCGGACUCUGGGAUAACAGCUGGAAACAGCUGCUAAUACCGGAUACGAGCUGCGAAGGCAUCUUCAGCAGCUGGAAAGAAUUUCGGUCCGGGAUGGGCUCGCGGCCUAUCAGCUAGUUGGUGAGGUAACGGCUCACCAAGGCGUCGACGGGUAGCCGGCCUGAGAGGGUGACCGGCCACACUGGGACUGAGACACGGCCCAGACUCCUACGGGAGGCAGCAGUGGGGAAUAUUGCACAAUGGGCGAAAGCCUGAUGCAGCAACGCCGCGUGAGGGACGACGGCCUUCGGGUUGUAAACCUCUUUUAGCAGGGAAGAAGCGAAAGUGACGGUACCUGCAGAAAAAGCGCCGGCUAACUACGUGCCAGCAGCCGCGGUAAUACGUAGGGCGCAAGCGUUAUCCGGAAUUAUUGGGCGUAAAGAGCUCGUAGGCGGUCUGUCGCGUCUGCUGUGAAAACCCGAGGCUCAACCUCGGGCCUGCAGUGGGUACGGGCAGACUAGAGUGCGGUAGGGGAGAUUGGAACUCCUGGUGUAGCGGUGGAAUGCGCAGAUAUCAGGAAGAACACCGAUGGCGAAGGCAGAUCUCUGGGCCGUAACUGACGCUGAGGAGCGAAAGGGUGGGGAGCAAACAGGCUUAGAUACCCUGGUAGUCCACCCCGUAAACGUUGGGAACUAGUUGUGGGGUCCAUUCCACGGAUUCCGUGACGCAGCUAACGCAUUAAGUUCCCCGCCUGGGGAGUACGGCCGCAAGGCUAAAACUCAAAGGAAUUGACGGGGACCCGCACAAGCGGCGGAGCAUGCGGAUUAAUUCGAUGCAACGCGAAGAACCUUACCAAGGCUUGACAUAUAGAGGAAACGGCUGGAAACAGUCGCCCCGCAAGGUCUCUAUACAGGUGGUGCAUGGUUGUCGUCAGCUCGUGUCGUGAGAUGUUGGGUUAAGUCCCGCAACGAGCGCAACCCUCGUUCUAUGUUGCCAGCACGUAAUGGUGGGAACUCAUGGGAUACUGCCGGGGUCAACUCGGAGGAAGGUGGGGAUGACGUCAAAUCAUCAUGCCCCUUAUGUCUUGGGCUUCACGCAUGCUACAAUGGCCGGUACAAAGGGCUGCAAUACCGUAAGGUGGAGCGAAUCCCAAAAAGCCGGUCCCAGUUCGGAUUGAGGUCUGCAACUCGACCUCAUGAAGUCGGAGUCGCUAGUAAUCGCAGAUCAGC
This 1243-nucleotide ribosomal RNA is filed under the name Microbacterium ginsengisoli. RNAcentral's name for it is "bacterial SSU rRNA". It matches the Rfam family "Bacterial small subunit ribosomal RNA", at positions 95 to 1353 of the family's 1533-position model. Lineage: Bacteria; Bacillati; Actinomycetota; Actinomycetes; Micrococcales; Microbacteriaceae. The record is from RNAcentral.